UUUAUGUAGCCCCAAGCACUUUGACAUGAGAAGAGGUUAAAUAUAUAAAAUAGCUUUGACAUGCUACAUUGUGUUCCAAUAUAUAGAUGUUGAUGACAUUUCCUAAGUAUGGCAUUAUCACUGUUGAGAUGUAUGAGGCGGACAGGAUUGGGUAGAUUGAGAAAUACUUGCAGUGUUGUUAACUGGAAUCUUUCUGUUUUGGCUAUUCCCAAUGAAGGAGCUCAAUUAACCCAAAAGAGAUGUGCUCGCAUGUUUCCAAAAAACCCAUUCAACCGAGUUGACAAUGACAAACUGCCAGAGGAUUUUACAUUGGUAUACUGCAACACAAAUGGAGAAGGACUGAAGCAAUAUUUUCUUAUGAUAUCUUCAAGUUUGUUGAUAACAGGUGGAGGUGUUAUUUCUUAUGGUGGUUUGAUCAAAACAGUUAGCGAUCAUCCUGCAUUUUUCUUCGGAGUUACAUCUUGUAUAGCAUUAUGUAUUGGUUGUAUAUUAGUAAUUAAUCGAUGCACGAUGCUGAGAAUUUAUAAAAAUAUGAAAACUGAUUUAUAUGUUGGUGUUAGACCUAAGUGGUUGUUCUUACAGGAGAAAUUUACUUUCAGGCUUGAAAACAUUGUCAGGAAUGAUUGGAAAUACAGAGAUAAAAUACAUCACAACUAUCUGAAAGGGAAUCUUAGAAUAAAGGAUAGACCAUUUGUACUUUCAAUAAUGGAUUUUUCAUCAUCCCAGUUCUACAAUGAAAUAUAUGGACAUCAGAAAUUUCUGAGUGAAGAAGCUAAAAACUUUCCCAAUAAAGAUAAAUGAAUAUUAUA
Long non-coding RNA from Mytilus californianus (California mussel), 809 nucleotides. RefSeq lists it as uncharacterized. The transcript has 3 exons. NCBI's taxonomy places the organism in Eukaryota, Metazoa, Mollusca, Bivalvia, Mytilida, Mytilidae. The record is from RefSeq and is a predicted model, not a curated record.